RNAcentral lists this ribosomal RNA (470 nucleotides) under Pomacea haustrum. RNAcentral's name for it is "partial 16S ribosomal RNA". It matches the Rfam family "Bacterial large subunit ribosomal RNA", at positions 1848 to 2583 of the family's 2925-position model. Lineage: Eukaryota; Metazoa; Mollusca; Gastropoda; Architaenioglossa; Ampullariidae. The record is from RNAcentral.
AAGAGUUUGGCCUGCCCAGUGAGAUUUUAACGGCCGCGGUACUCUGACCGUGCAAAGGUAGCAUAAUCAUUUGCCUUAUAAUUGAAGGCUAGUAUGAAAGGUUUAACGAAAGUUAGGCUGUCUUUUUUUGAAUAAAAUGAAAUUAACCUAUAGGUGCAAAGGCCUAUAUUUAACUAAAAGACAAGAAGACCCUAUUGAGCUUUGUAAAGAUAUAGUAGAAUAAAAUAUAUAAGCAAAAUUUUAAUCUGCUUAAAUUUUUAGUUGGGGCGACUUAGGAAUAAAAAUAACUUCCUAGCAUUAAGAAUAUUUAUAGCUUUUUUAUCCUAAAAAUUUGGAUUGUCAGAAUUAGUUACCAUAGGGAUAACAGCAUAAUCUUUCUUAAGAGUUCUAAUCGGAAGAAAGGAUUGUGACCUCGAUGUUGGACUAGAAUAUCCUAAAGGUGCAGAAGUUUUUAAGGGUUAGUCUGUUCG